UGGAAUUCCAUGUGUAGCGGUGAAAUGCGUAGAUAUAUGGAGGAACACCGGUGGCGAAAGCGGCUCUCUGGUCUGUAACUGACGCUGAGGCUCGAAAGCGUGGGGAGCGAACAGGAUUAGAUACCCUGGUAGUCCACGCCGUAAACGAUGAGUGCUAGGUGUUAGGUCCUUUCCGGGACUUAGUGCCGCAGCUAACGCAUUAAGCACUCCGCCUGGGGAGUACGACCGCAAGGUUGAAACUCAAAGGAAUUGACGGGGGCCCGCACAAGCGGUGGAGCAUGUGGUUUAAUUCGAAGCAACGCGAAGAACCUUACCAGGUCUUGACAUCCCGAUGCCCGCUCUAGAGAUAGAGCUUUACUUCGGUACAUCGGUGACAGGUGGUGCAUGGUUGUCGUCAGCUCGUGUCGUGAGAUGUUGGGUUAAGUCCCGCAACGAGCGCAACCCUUAUUGUUAGUUGCCAUCAUUCAGUUGGGCACUCUAGCGAGACUGCCGGUAAUAAACCGGAGGAAGGUGGGGAUGACGUCAAAUCAUCAUGCCCCUUAUGACCUGGGCUACACACGUGCUACAAUGGCUGGUACAACGAGUCGCAAGCCGGUGACGGCAAGCUAAUCUCUGAAAGCCAGUCUCAGUUCGGAUUGUAGGCUGCAACUCGCCUACAUGAAGUCGGAAUCGCUAGUAAUCGCGGAUCAGCACGCCGCGGUGAAUACGUUCCCGGGCCUUGUACACACCGCCCGUCACACCACGAGAGUUUGUAACACC
RNAcentral lists this ribosomal RNA (759 nucleotides) under Streptococcus intermedius. RNAcentral describes it as "bacterial SSU rRNA". It matches the Rfam family "Bacterial small subunit ribosomal RNA", at positions 662 to 1421 of the family's 1533-position model. Lineage: Bacteria; Bacillati; Bacillota; Bacilli; Lactobacillales; Streptococcaceae. The record is from RNAcentral.